CCUACGGGUGGCAGCAGUGGGGAAUAUUGCACAAUGGGGGAAACCCUGAUGCAGCGACGCCGCGUGAGUGAAGAAGUAAUUCGGUAUGUAAAGCUCUAUCAGCAGGGAAGAAAAUGACGGUACCUGAGUAAGAAGCACCGGCUAAUUACGUGCCAGCAGCCGCGGUAAUACGAAGGGGGCGAGCGUUAUCCGGAUUUACUGGGUGUAAAGGGAGCGUAGACGGCAGUGCAAGUAUGGAGUGAAAGGCGGGGGCUCAACCCGCGGACUGCUUUGGAAACUGUACGGCUGGAGUGCAGGAGAGGUUAGUGGAAGUCCUAGUGUAGCGGUGAAAUGCGUAGAUAUUAGGAGGAACACCAGUGGCGAAGGCGACUAACUGGACUAUAACUGACGUUGAGGCUCGAAAGCGUGGGGAGCAAACAGGAUUAGAUACCCGAGUAGUC
This 440-nucleotide ribosomal RNA is filed under the name uncultured bacterium. RNAcentral describes it as "partial 16S ribosomal RNA". It matches the Rfam family "Bacterial small subunit ribosomal RNA", at positions 338 to 795 of the family's 1533-position model. The record is from RNAcentral.